GCCCCGAUAGUGUAGUCCGGACUAUCAUACUGCCCUUUCGAGGCAGCGACCCGGGUUCAAAUCCCGGUCGGGGCG
This 75-nucleotide transfer RNA is filed under the name Candidatus Woesearchaeota archaeon. RNAcentral's name for it is "tRNA-Glu". It matches the Rfam family "tRNA". From Rfam's summary of the family: Transfer RNA (tRNA) molecules are approximately 80 nucleotides in length. Lineage: Archaea; Nanobdellati; Candidatus Woesearchaeota. The record is from RNAcentral.